Molecule: long non-coding RNA, 725 nt
Organism: Raphanus sativus (radish)
Lineage: Eukaryota; Viridiplantae; Streptophyta; Magnoliopsida; Brassicales; Brassicaceae
Exons: 2
Source: RefSeq, a predicted model, not a curated record
UUGAAAUGGGAGUGGAGGGAAUAUUGAAGGAGGCGGUGGCUGAAAUGGGUUUGGUGGAAAAAUCGAUGGUGGUGGCGCAAAUGGGUUUGGUGGAAAAAACGAAGGUGGGGGUGUAAAUGGGUUUGGAGGAAGAAACCAUGGAGAUUCCGACUAGACUUCCUCCCUGGAUGCUUCUUUACAGCCACGAAUAUCUGAUUCUUCCCGUUUCUUGAACACCUUUUGAUUCCAAGACAUAAAACAUGGGAUUCUUUGCGAUAACGACCUCUUGUCUUCUGUUUGAAACUAGGUUUCACUUGUCUGAAUCUGCAUUCAAGAUCACCAUAGGAAUCUGCACACAGCCAUACAGAAGAAGACAAACUUUUCAGAACAGAGAAGAGAAGUUUCUUAAUAAUACAAUAUGUGUUUAUGAUACCUGAGACUGAGAAGAGGUUACUUUUCCUGCAAGGGACAGUGUCUCUGAAGCUUACAGCUGUAUUUGCUGCCUUUGAAGUAUGGUUAUUGAAUGUUAUGGUUAAAGCAAUGCAGAUGAGGAAGAGAAGAGAAGACAUCUUGGAGCUUUGUUUUCUAAAGUUGAAAGAGGUUUUUGUUUGUUAUUGAUAUAGGAGAGACAGAAACAUAAGGUUUUUCUGAAAACUCUUUUGUUCUUUUCUGUCUCGUGAAUCGCCUUUUUGUAUAAUUGAGUUUCUUUGAAGACAUUAAACUAGAAAACAAAAUUUUGGCUUUUA